CCGGUCACGCUGAGCCACCACCGGCCAAAACACCAACCCCAAUUCUCCCGUUCCAUUCUCACUUCGACGGCUUCGAUUCAUUCGAUUUCUUGCAUUGUCAUGGACACCCCUUUUCGAUGAAGAACAAACUCCAUCAUAAAUUCGAUCGAUUUGGAUGCCCCUUUUCGACCAGUGGUCGAAUUCGCAUCGUCGUGGGAGGGUCGUAGGUAAAAAAAAAAAAACCCUACUUUUAUUGGUUCCAAAAACCCUAGAUUUUGCUCUGUUGUUGAAAUCUCUGCGUGGAGACUCUCCAUCGGAGCGCACGAAACCCUAGGUUUCCUGGCCACCGGGUUUUGCGGUCAAGAAGCUAGAGGCGGAGAUGAUUUUCCUACUUCAAGCCCCUGCCACGAGCGGGCGACUGACUCAUCUUCAUGGAGUUGGACGAGCACGAGAACAAGGAGAUUAUCAAAUGGUCUUGCAGAAAAGAGGAAAGAAACGGAGAGGCUCGAAAGGAUAAACAGGCAGGGAUGAGGAGCUACAAGAGUUUGAUGUUCCAGAGAAGAUGAUGACAUCUAAUGAACAACUUGCUUCCACUAGUAAAUCCCUGCAAGAACUUGAAGAUGACACAACUUCAUGUGAGCAUCAUACAAGUUAUCUGAUGGUUGGUAAAGAUGGUCAAGCUUUCAAGAAUCUGCUUGAUGACAAUGGUAAGAUAAAAUUGUGAUACGGGUUGUUACAGGACCUUUAUUCAAUUACAAAUGAUGUUUCAUUGUGAAAUGCGAUUAAAAAAAAGGAAUGGAACCAUAUAUCAGUUAUCCACAAAUGUAUCUCAUGAUAUGAAUGUUAUAUACUGCAAUUCAGUCU
Molecule: non-coding RNA, 843 nt
Organism: Musa acuminata subsp. malaccensis (wild Malaysian banana)
Lineage: Eukaryota; Viridiplantae; Streptophyta; Magnoliopsida; Zingiberales; Musaceae
Source: RefSeq, a predicted model, not a curated record